UCGAAACCUGCAAAGCAGACCCGUGAACAUGUUUAACCGAAUAUGUGGCCGUGAUUCUGGACGUCGCGGCGUCCAUCUCACGGUCCGUACCCAAACGGCGCAAGCCUGUUGGGUUAACUAACCUCUCGGCGCGGCAAGCGUCAAGGAAGAACAGACCGAUCGCCCCUCCGUGUGGGUGCCGUGCUCGGUGCCCCAACACGUGGAGGAGCAUCUACGCAAAAAAUAGUCAUAACGACUCUCGGCAACGGAUAUCUCGGCUCUCGCAUCGAUGAAGAACGUAGCGAAAUGCGAUACUUGGUGUGAAUUGCAGAAUCCCGUGAACCAUCGAGUCUUUGAACGCAAGUUGCGCCCGAAGCCAUCAGGCUGAGGGCACGUCUGCCUGGGCGUCACACAUCUCGUCGCCCCCCAACGUCAUCGUUCCCCGCUUACUGUCGGGAAAGGUGACGCAUGAAGUGUGGGGGGUGGAAGUUGGCCUUCCGUUACCAGCGUGUAGCGGCUGGCCCAAAUACGAAACCGUGCCGAUGAAUGCGACACGAUACGUGGUGGUUGGAUUCCUCAACUUGCGAACUAUCGUGGCGGACUUAUGUCGGGACACGGACAGAGGACCCAACGGCUGAAAAUGCCCUCGACCGUA
RNAcentral lists this ribosomal RNA (634 nucleotides) under Paraboea swinhoei. RNAcentral's name for it is "eukaryotic LSU rRNA". The stretch from base 234 to 389 matches the Rfam family "5.8S ribosomal RNA". Lineage: Eukaryota; Viridiplantae; Streptophyta; Magnoliopsida; Lamiales; Gesneriaceae. The record is from RNAcentral.